RNAcentral lists this ribosomal RNA (253 nucleotides) under uncultured bacterium. RNAcentral describes it as "partial 16S ribosomal RNA". It matches the Rfam family "Bacterial small subunit ribosomal RNA", at positions 524 to 776 of the family's 1533-position model. The record is from RNAcentral.
UACGUAGGGUGCAAGCGUUGUCCGGAAUUAUUGGGCGUAAAGAGCUCGUAGGCGGUCUGUCGCGUCUGCUGUGAAAACUCGGGGCUUAACCCCGGGCCUGCAGUGGGUACGGGCAGACUAGAGUGCGGUAGGGGAGACUGGAAUUCCUGGUGUAGCGGUGAAAUGCGCAGAUAUCAGGAGGAACGCCGGUGGCGAAGGCGGGUCUCUGGGCCGUAACUGACGCUGAGGAGCGAAAGCGUGGGGAGCGAACAGG